UUGCUCCUGGAUUCAGCGGCGGACGGGUGAGUAAUGCCUAGGAAUCUGCCUGGUAGUGGGGGAUAACGUCCGGAAACGGGCGCUAAUACCGCAUACGUCCUGAGGGAGAAGGUGGGGGAUCUUCGGACCUCACGCUAUCAGAUGAGCCUAGGUCGGAUUAGCUAGUUGGUGGGGUAAAGGCCUACCAAGGCGACGAUCCGUAACUGGUCUGAGAGGAUGAUCAGUCACACUGGAACUGAGACACGGUCCAGACUCCUACGGGAGGCAGCAGUGGGGAAUAUUGGACAAUGGGCGAAAGCCUGAUCCAGCCAUGCCGCGUGUGUGAAGAAGGUCUUCGGAUUGUAAAGCACUUUAAGUUGGGAGGAAGGGCAGUAAGUUAAUACCUUGCUGUUUUGACGUUACCAACAGAAUAAGCACCGGCUAACUUCGUGCCAGCAGCCGCGGUAAUACGAAGGGUGCAAGCGUUAAUCGGAAUUACUGGGCGUAAAGCGCGCGUAGGUGGUUCAGCAAGUUGGAUGUGAAAUCCCCGGGCUCAACCUGGGAACUGCAUCCAAAACUACUGAGCUAGAGUACGGUAGAGGGUGGUGGAAUUUCCUGUGUAGCGGUGAAAUGCGUAGAUAUAGGAAGGAACACCAGUGGCGAAG
Molecule: ribosomal RNA, 644 nt
Filed under: uncultured Pseudomonadota bacterium
Lineage: Bacteria; Pseudomonadati; Pseudomonadota
Description: bacterial SSU rRNA
Rfam family: Bacterial small subunit ribosomal RNA
Source: RNAcentral